UACGUAGGGUGCAAGCGUUGUCCGGAUUUAUUGGGCGUAAAGAGCUCGUAGGCGGCUCGUCGCGUCAGCUGUGAAAACCCGCGGCUUAACCGUGGGCGUGCAGCUGAUACGGGCGGGCUAGAGUUCGGUAGGGGAGACUGGAAUUCCUGGUGUAGCGGUGAAAUGCGCAGAUAUCAGGAGGAACACCGGUGGCGAAGGCGGGUCUCUGGGCCGAUACUGACGCUGAGGAGCGAAAGCGUGGGGAGCGAACAGG
Molecule: ribosomal RNA, 253 nt
Filed under: uncultured bacterium
Lineage: Bacteria
Description: partial 16S ribosomal RNA
Rfam family: Bacterial small subunit ribosomal RNA
Source: RNAcentral